UACAGAGGGUGCAAGCGUUGCUCGGAAUCAUUGGGCGUAAAGGGCAGGUAGGUGGUCUCAUUUGUCUGGGGUGAAAGCCCAGGGCUUAACCCUGGAAGUGCCCCGGAAACGGUGAGACUGGAGUCUUGGAGAGGGUCGUGGAAUUCCCGGUGUAGCGGUGAAAUGCGUAGAUAUCUGGAGGAACACCGGUGGCGAAGGCGGCAUCCUGGACCGGCAUUGACGCUGAGGCGCGAAAGCCAGGGGAGCAAACGGG
RNAcentral lists this ribosomal RNA (253 nucleotides) under uncultured bacterium. RNAcentral describes it as "partial 16S ribosomal RNA". It matches the Rfam family "Bacterial small subunit ribosomal RNA", at positions 524 to 776 of the family's 1533-position model. The record is from RNAcentral.